This 551-nucleotide ribosomal RNA is filed under the name uncultured bacterium. RNAcentral describes it as "bacterial SSU rRNA". It matches the Rfam family "Bacterial small subunit ribosomal RNA", at positions 354 to 896 of the family's 1533-position model. The record is from RNAcentral.
UCGAGGAUCAUUUCGCAAUGCGCGAAAGCGUGACGAUGCGACGCUGCGUGGAGGAUGAAGGCCCUCGGGUCGUAAACUCCUGUCAUUCGGGAAAAAUGGCUCAAGGCUAAUACCCUUGGGAAAAGAUGGUACCGAAAGAGGAAGCCACGGCUAACUCUGUGCCAGCAGCCGCGGUAAUACAGAGGUGGCGAGCGUUGUUCGGAUUUACUGGGCGUAAAGCGUGCGUAGGCGGUUUCGUGUGUCGGAUGUGAAAGCCCAUGGCUCAACUGUGGAAUUGCAUUCGAAACUACGAAACUAGAGUGCAGGAUGGGAGAGCGGAAUUCCUGGUGUAGCGGUGAAAUGCGUUGAUAUCAGGAGGAACACCGGUGGCGAAGGCGGCUCUCUGGAAUGUUACUGACGCUCAGGCACGAAAGCGUGGGGAGCAAACAGGAUUAGAUACCCUGGUAGUCCACGCCGUAAACGGUGCGCACUUGGUGUUGGAGGUAUUGACCCCUUCAGUGCCGGAGCUAACGCGUUAAGUGCGCCGCCUGGGGAGUACGGUCGCAAGAUUA